This 725-nucleotide ribosomal RNA is filed under the name uncultured Propionibacterium sp. Its description in RNAcentral is "bacterial SSU rRNA". It matches the Rfam family "Bacterial small subunit ribosomal RNA", at positions 371 to 1105 of the family's 1533-position model. Lineage: Bacteria; Bacillati; Actinomycetota; Actinomycetes; Propionibacteriales; Propionibacteriaceae. The record is from RNAcentral.
AUGGGCGGAAGCCUGAUGCAGCAACGCCGCGUGCGGGAUGACGGCCUUCGGGUUGUAAACCGCUUUCGCCUGUGACGAAGCGUGAGUGACGGUAAUGGGUAAAGAAGCACCGGCUAACUACGUGCCAGCAGCCGCGGUGAUACGUACGGUGCGAGCGUUGUCCGGAUUUAUUGGGCGUAAAGGGCUCGUAUGUGGUUGAUCGCGUCGGAAGUGUAAUCUUGGGGCUUAACCCUGAGCGUGCUUUCGAUACGGGUUGACUUGAGGAAGGUAGGGGAGAAUGGAAUUCCUGGUGGAGCGGUGGAAUGCGCAGAUAUCAGGAGGAACACCAGUGGCGAAGGCGGUUCUCUGGGCCUUUCCUGACGCUGAGGAGCGAAAGCGUGGGGAGCGAACAGGCUUAGAUACCCUGGUAGUCCACGCUGUAAACGGUGGGUACUAGGUGUGGGGUCCAUUCCACGGGUUCCGUGCCGUAGCUAACGCUUUAAGUACCCCGCCUGGGGAGUACGGCCGCAAGGCUAAAACUCAAAGGAAUUGACGGGGCCCCGCACAAGCGGCGGAGCAUGCGGAUUAAUUCGAUGCAACGCGUAAAACCUUACCUGGGUUUGACAUGGAUCGGGAGUGCUCAAAGAUGGGUGUGCCUCUUUUGGGGUCGGUUCACAGGUGGUGCAUGGCUGUCGUCAGCUCGUGUCGUGAGAUGUUGGGUUAAGUCCCGCAACGAGCGCAACCCU